This 425-nucleotide ribosomal RNA is filed under the name uncultured bacterium. RNAcentral describes it as "bacterial SSU rRNA". It matches the Rfam family "Bacterial small subunit ribosomal RNA", at positions 355 to 775 of the family's 1533-position model. The record is from RNAcentral.
UCGAGGAUCUUCGGCAAUGGGCGCAAGCCUGACCGAGCGACGCCGCGUGCGGGAUGAAGGCCUUCGGGUUGUAAACCGCUGUCAGUGGGGAGGAAAUUCCUGAGGGUACUCUCUCAGGAUUGACCUAUCCGCAGAGGAAGUGUGGGCUAAGUUCGUGCCAGCAGCCGCGGUAAGACGAACCACACAAACGUUAUUCGGAAUCACUGGGCUUAAAGGGUGCGUAGGCGGCGCGGAAAGUUGGGUGUGAAAUCCCUCAGCUUAACUGAGGAAUGGCGCCCAAAACUACCGUGCUCGAGGAAGACAGAGGUGAGCGGAACUCAGGGUGGAGCGGUGAAAUGCGUUGAUAUCCUGAGGAACACCGGUGGCGAAAGCGGCUCACUGGGUCUUAUCUGACGCUGAUGCACGAAAGCUAGGGGAGCGAACGG